GGGGAUAUAGCUCAGUUGGCAGAGCGUCCGCUUCGCAUGCGGAAGGUCGGGGGUUCGAUUCCCCCUAUCUCCA
The sequence is a transfer RNA, 73 nucleotides long. It matches the Rfam family "tRNA". From Rfam's summary of the family: Transfer RNA (tRNA) molecules are approximately 80 nucleotides in length.